RNAcentral lists this unclassified non-coding RNA (262 nucleotides) under Sordariomycetes sp. Its description in RNAcentral is "partial contains 5.8S ribosomal RNA, internal transcribed spacer 2, and large subunit ribosomal RNA". Lineage: Eukaryota; Fungi; Ascomycota; Sordariomycetes. The record is from RNAcentral.
CGCACAUUGCGCCCGCCAGCAUUCUGGCGGGCAUGCCUGUUCGAGCGUCAUUUCAACCCCUCAGGCCCUGGUGCCUGGCGUCGGGGCUCUCCCGCGAGGGAGGCCCCCAGAGACAGUGGCGGACCCGCCGCGGCUCCGAGCGCAGUAGUAAAAUUCUCGCUGAGGAGGCCCGCGGAGGGAUUCCGGCCGUUAAACCAGGUCUGCAAAGACCGACCCAACCAAGGUUGACCUCGGAUCAGGUAGGAAUACCCGCUGAACUUAA